This 445-nucleotide long non-coding RNA is filed under the name Equus caballus (horse). Its description in RNAcentral is "lncRNA (ENSECAG00000046279.1)". Lineage: Eukaryota; Metazoa; Chordata; Mammalia; Perissodactyla; Equidae. The record is from RNAcentral.
CCUCAUGAUUGGCCUUAGAAAAGAGGCUCCAGAGAGAUCACUAGGCCCUUCACCACGUGAGGACACUGCAAGAAGGUCCCAUCUAUGAACCAGGAAAAAGACUCUCACCAGAACGCCACCAUGCUGGUGACUUGAUCUUGGACUUCCAGACUCCAGAACGAUGCCAGGUUUCUGAGAAUGGAGAAUUGGGCAUAAGCAAAGAAGCAGGAGAAAAAAACAGAAGAGGAGAAAGACAUCAUGGAGGAAAGGAAAAUGAGACAAAGAGAAUGAAAAGACAAAGAGGAAGACAGAAGGGAAGAAUGGAUCAGAGUGAGUCUGUAAGCUAACCAACUACUGCUGGUUUGAAAUUCAGUGUCAUUAGGAUGCAGCUAUUUCUCAUAGUAAGUGCCCCCCAAAGAAGGAAAUAAACCAGCAAAUGAAAAUAACGGGAAUAUAAAUCAUUUAG